AUCAAUUCGAAACUCUCUCAAUCGAAAUCCCUCACUCGUCCUCUCGUCGUCUCUCACUCAUCCUCUCUGGAACCCAAACUUGAUCGAUCUGAGGACGACCCAGAUAGAAAUUGGAUCCGAUUAUUGGAUCUGAAUCUGAUGGUGUGCGAUUGGAUGAAAUGGGUCACGCUAUUCUUAUUGUUAUCGUUCUGGAAUUUUGGUGCUAGGGUUAUUGUGGAUGUGAGGCUGCAUAUUCAUAAACGACGAUGCAGCUUCACUUCUCGCCUAAUAUGAGAAGUAUCACAAUAUCGAGCACAAACAAUGGGUUUAUUGACUUAAUGAAGAUCAAGGUCGCAGCUCGCCAUACUUCCUAUCGAACCCUUUUUCAUACCAUUCUUAUAUUAGCUUUCUUAUUUCCUUGUGUAUUCAUUCUCACUGCUCUUGUACUUUUUACAAUCUAUCUUUCAACCCUUUUUUUAUCUCAUAAUCAUGUAAUCUAUUUAGUUAUGAUUGAUUGCUUUUUUGUUAUCGUUAGGAGGCUGGUUAAGGUACCAAUUGCUUAUAAAUUCAUAGUAUCAUUCUGAUUGCGUAUUAGGCUGAGCUGUUUGUUACUUGUCAAAUUAAUGAUAGUGAUUAUCUUGUGCACAUGGUAUUAAAAUUUUAUUUUUUUAUUAUGAAUUAGGAUCUAAGUGUUAUUGAUUAAAAUAAAUGGAGUUAAAAGUUAGAGAGUCAUUUAGCGUAUCAUAUGAGUAACUUUGGCAUCAAAAGAACUGUGUUGUGGUUUUCUUGGUCAGAAAGAAUCAAGUUUGCCUAGUUUGGGUCUAGGGGUUCUGGUUAUUGAUCAGAUUAAUCUUGUUGAUAAUUAGAUCUAGGGUUUUAAGUUACAGUUGCUGCCAUGUUUGCAUUGUGGCUAUUAUGAGUUAGUUGCCCGGGCUGGCUAAUUGUCACGUGGUUUGCAUUUUGCAAUCGGUGCGUGUGAUGUGAUUGUGGCGGUGACCAUUGCAACCUAGAUGCUGAGGCUGUAUCAUGUGAUGCGGUCUGCAAUUUAAUGCCUUGAUUACAUAUGAUAAAAGAAUGGCUAUAGUUGUGGGAGGGGCCAAUAAUAUAGGCUUAACUUGCACUUUGAAAUUAUGUUUGUACUUAAAUGGCUCAAGUACUCAAGUGGAGCUUGCAAAUAUUUAUGAUGUAUAUGCAUAGUUAAAUAGGUAAGUGCAUAUUUUCACACAAAACAACGCCUUGGAAAUGGACUUGCUUUUGCGAAAUGCAUAUAACUUUGUCUUCCUGGGGAUUGCUAUGUUUUCUUAACUGCAUUUUUGUGUGCCCUUCACAAAUGGCAGGAAUCACAUGGAAGAACAGUGUCAUCAUUGAACAUAACAGAUGAAAAAGCUCCGAAAUUAUAUCUCAAAUAUAUGUGACUUUUGCGGGUAAACAUAUUUCUUGCAUUCUUCCAAGUUCCUCUUUGCAUUUUUGUGUAUUGUGUUUAUCCAUUUCAGUUUGAUCUUCUUCAUGAUUUGAUUGAUUCUUCAUGUUUUUUAUGAUAUUUGGUGUACCUGAAGAAAAGGGAAGUUCGGUUGGAACCUUAAAUCGUACAUUAUGCCGUAUUAGUCAUGAAGGUAGAUCUUUUCGAUUCAUGACCCAAUUGAUGAUUGAAAAUGGUCCAGCAAGACAGAGGAAAAGGAGUUUCUGACUAGGUCUAUUUUGAUUAGAAUUAGAAAUUUAGAGUCCUUGUAUGUAGAAUGUCCAAUUUUUUUAUAGUGUUGUUUGGAUCAAUAAUUUCACUAACUUAGUUUCUGACUAAUUUCACUAAUUUGUUUCUUAUGCUGCAGCUUCACAUUGAGUAGAGUAUUGUGCUCCCCAAAAAAAAAAAACUGCAGCUAUUUAGGAGCGAGGUCAGGUUUCUCUCUUAUUUGACAUUGUACGUUGUUUAGUUUAAGUUUUGGUAAGUUGCUAUAUAGGAGCUCUUAGGUCUUGCAAACUGUCUUGAUUUUGAUGACAAUAUUAGCGAUGCAAUUUAGGAAAGGGAUGUAUAGUAUGGUGCUAUUGUACAUAUGUGAUUUGAAUUUAGUAAGUAUUAGGCUUUGGCAUUUUAGUGUGGUGAACUAUCUUGAUUUAGGAAGGGAUCUAGGUAUGUGUGAAGUUAUUAUAUGGUGAAUUGUUUUGAUAUUAAUUUUGGAUGUUGAAUGGUACAUAUUAGUAUUGUUAACAUUACUAUUUGCCUUAAUUCAAAUGUAGUGUCAUGUUCUUCAUUUUUAAUUUUGGAUGUUGUUUGUUGUGAAAUUAUGUUUAUAUAUGCAUGUUAUAUAUAGUCUUGCUGGCCUGUGGGUUAUAUAUGCAUGUUAUGUUCUUUCAUGUGUACAGCGGGCAUUGGCAAUUAAUAAUUAUGUGUCCUAAGAACAAUGUAAUAGUUUGCCUUUGUUCAUUACACCAUAAGAUACCUGAAGCAGUGAAGAAUCUUUUUACAAAGUAAGUUAUUAUUUUAUUUAGUUUGCCUUUGUUCAUCCGCUUAUUGUUUAUUAAAACAUUGUUGAUUUUUAAAUUUUUUUAGUGCUUUUAAAGUUCAUCAAUUAGCAACUUUUGAUAAUAGAAAGAAGACUACAUGAAUUUUUCCCAAAACAAGGGUACAGCCUAACGGCAAUGGCUGUGGAUAUUAUGUAAUGAAGAAUAUGAUUGACAUUGUCUCUGCUAGUAUUACAAAUAAUUGGAUGGAGAUAUUAUAUUUUUCUUUAUCGACAUUGGAGUUGAACCUUUAAUUUGACAUGUUAUUAUAGAAUCUGAUGCACUUAGCUAAGGUUGUAUUUUUCUAUGUAAUGAAUUUGUGGGUCUGGAAUAGUAGCUGGGUGUGUUUUUUCCUGGUGUGUGCUGGUGGCUGUUUGCUUCUGCUGGUUUUGGUCACAUUUUUUUCCUAAUUAGGAGGCACUGUUUUGCUUUUUUGCUGUUUGCUGCUAUUAUGGUGUUGUGGUUUCUAGGAUAGACGUUUGGUUGCUAUUCUGCCUUGCUUUCUUGUGGCUGUUAUCUUGUAUAUUAUAAGUACUCCUUGUACUUAAUUUCUAAUAAA
This is a long non-coding RNA of Trifolium pratense (red clover), 3034 nucleotides long. RefSeq lists it as uncharacterized. The transcript is spliced from 2 exons. NCBI's taxonomy places the organism in Eukaryota, Viridiplantae, Streptophyta, Magnoliopsida, Fabales, Fabaceae. The record is from RefSeq and is a predicted model, not a curated record.